UGGGGAAUAUUGGACAAUGGGCGCAAGCCUGAUCCAGCAAUGCCGCGUGUGUGAAGAAGGCCUUCGGGUUGUAAAGCACUUUUAUCAGGAGCGAAACGCUGUCGGCUAAUACCCGGCGGAACUGACGGUACCUGAGGAAUAAGCACCGGCUAACUUCGUGCCAGCAGCCGCGGUAAUACGAAGGGUGCAAGCGUUAAUCGGAAUUACUGGGCGUAAAGCGUGCGUAGGCGGUUUCUUAAGUCUGCUGUGAAAUCCCCGGGCUCAACCUGGGAAUGGCAGUGGAUACUGGGAGGCUAGAGUGUGUCAGAGGGUGGUGGAAUUCCCGGUGUAGCGGUGAAAUGCGUAGAGAUCGGGAGGAACAUCAGUGGCGAAGGCGGCCACCUGGGACAACACUGACGCUGAGGCACGAAAGCGUGGGGAGCAAACAGGAUUAGAUACCCUGGUAGUCCACGCCCUAAACGAUGCGAACUGGAUGUUGGUCUCAACUCGGAGAUCAGUGUCGAAGCUAACGCGUUAAGUUCGCCGCCUGGGGAGUACGGUCGCAAGACUGAAACUUAAAGGAA
RNAcentral lists this ribosomal RNA (563 nucleotides) under uncultured bacterium. RNAcentral's name for it is "partial 16S ribosomal RNA". It matches the Rfam family "Bacterial small subunit ribosomal RNA", at positions 355 to 909 of the family's 1533-position model. The record is from RNAcentral.